AUAUUUAAUUCAUCCACGACAGAAUUUGCUAGUGUUGAUGAGGAACCGGUUAUUACCGUGGAUAUUUAUGAUCCAAGCAAUUUGGGUAAUCUUGAUAACAAAGUGAGGUAUAUAUUAGUGGAAAAGGGUCCUAAAAGGGAAGAACAAUACACUAAAUAUUCUCUGGAUGAAAAUUCAAGACAUUUUUCGUAUAACCAUUACUUGAGAAAAACGUGCGUGAUAGGAAAUGGUUAG
Molecule: ribosomal RNA, 234 nt
Filed under: Triticum aestivum (bread wheat)
Lineage: Eukaryota; Viridiplantae; Streptophyta; Magnoliopsida; Poales; Poaceae
Description: partial small subunit ribosomal RNA
Source: RNAcentral